UGGGGCCCCUGCAAACCUGGGUGGUGGACCCCGAAUUUCUGCAUCCGUUCGACGUGUCAGUUGAUGGACGGUUUGAACUUCGUCACCGGAUAGAAAACUAACGGAAGUUAAUCUGUUAUUUUUGUGGUCAAAUAGGAGGCGAGAUGCAGUCGAUUCUGUGAAGCAAGAUGCACAGAAGAUCCUUGGAGAUGGAAAUAAUCUACUAAAUGAGGAUAACGAGCUCUCUGACAACAUCAACAAGGAGCUGGAGGACGUGGAGGAGAUGAAGAGAGAGCUCGGUCGUCUUCAUGCUCUGCUGAAUGACAAGGUUCAGGGCCUUACCGACGGCUUGAGUGAUGGCAUGCUAGCUGAACAUGUCCACGAAGCAGAGGAACAUGCCAAACAGCUAAAUGAAUCAGCAGCCAUUUUAGAUGGAAGUUAAUCUGGAUGUAAGCCAUCACACUUUGCCACAGCUCAGUGUUGUCUCCACUUUAUAAGAUUGUGGCCAUCUUUUUCAAAACUGAGGACCUGAUCAUCAAUACAUUAACUUCACAAGAUGUUGGUAAAAUUGUGCUGCAUCUUCCUCAGCACAGGCAUCUACCAGGAACCUUUAGAGAGCUUGAUGUUUCCCUCUGCUGAGAAGCUUUAUGGAGAUGCUGAUGUUAUUUUCCAGCAGAACUUGGCACCUACUCACACUGCCAAAGGGACAGGACGGUAGACGGGUGCAAGCGGUGCUGCGCCAUGAAUAUAAAUGGACCUGGAGUCUCUGUUGUGCCCGUGAGAGCAGCCGUAAACUUAGGGAAGAGCAACACAGCCUGCUACAAUUUGUCUGCCACAUAUUUAAGGUCUUAUCACACAGCUUGCAAAGUGGAAAAGUGCUCUCAGUACCACUGUAACAGCAAUAAUAUGACAGAUCAGUGCUGGAGCAUACCUCUGGAUCUCUACAGUUUGGACACAGAUAGAUCAUGUGAUGAUGCACCUGAUUUGGAGUGGGAUUUACAACUCCUCUAUUAUGACCUUGGGAGGAUCGCCCUGAUAUCCUGCAGCCAUCCCUCACCUGCAGUAACAGGUUUACUGUCCUGGAUGCUGGCUGCUGGCUGUCAAUCAGCUUAAGAAGCAGAUAUCUGUGCAGGCUCAUGUGCUCGUUUGUUUAUGCUUGAAUUAUUCUUUUUGGCUACUUUGUCAGAUAUUCUUUUUCCACACAUGCCCUGUCGGUCCUAUCCAAUUCUUCUUAGUUUCCAGACAGGGAAGAUGGUGUGAGGUAUGAAGACACCAGGCAUAUUACUGGUGCAGCCUCAUGAAUUACAAUACCAUUAAAAAGAUAAUUCAUUCCAGUAAUUAAAGUGGUGGAUAGCUGGUUGCAGGGCCGUUGGCAGUGAUGAACUACAGAGUCAACAAGUCAACCAAGCAUACAGUUUCUAAAAAGACAUUACAAAGAUGAACCAUUGGAAAGUUUUCUCUUUCAGAUGAUAAAUAUAGAAAUGUAUCGAUGAAUUGGUUGGUGACAGAUGAUUUUCAAUUUGACUGGCUCUGACAUGUAAUCGUUGGCUCAUGUUUUCCUGAUCAGUGAACUCGCUCCAAGAAACCCCAGGUCCCACUAACCCAAACCAUCUUCACUGUGAAGUCCUUACAAAUUGAAAACAACUCAAAGCUGACUACUUUAGAGGUGUUUUAAAAUCAAGUCAGAGAAAUUAAAUGAGCUGUAAUGAGAUAUUUAAAAUGAAACUGAUUUGUCUGAGCAUAUUGCAUGUUUGUUCUGGCUGUCUUCACAGAAAGUGAAGCUUAGGUGGGUGUUUGUCAUUUCACUCCUUCAACAAGUUGUA
Long non-coding RNA from Girardinichthys multiradiatus, 1802 nucleotides. RefSeq lists it as uncharacterized. Lineage: Eukaryota; Metazoa; Chordata; Actinopteri; Cyprinodontiformes; Goodeidae. The record is from RefSeq and is a predicted model, not a curated record. The transcript is spliced from 7 exons.